RNAcentral lists this ribosomal RNA (440 nucleotides) under uncultured bacterium. RNAcentral describes it as "partial 16S ribosomal RNA". It matches the Rfam family "Bacterial small subunit ribosomal RNA", at positions 338 to 795 of the family's 1533-position model. The record is from RNAcentral.
CCUACGGGGGGCAGCAGUGGGGGAUAUUGCACAAUGGGGGGAACCCUGAUGCAGCGACGCCGCGUGGGUGAAGGAGCGUUUCGGCGCGUAAAGCCCUAUCGGCAGGGAAGAAGAUGACGGUACCUGGCCAAGAAGCCCCGGCUAACUACGUGCAAGCAGCCGCGGUAAUACGUAGGGGGCAAGCGUUAUCCGGAUUUACUGGGUGUAAAGGGGGCGCAGACGGCAAUGCAAGCCAGAAGUGAAAGCCCGGGGCCCAACCCCGGGACUGCUCUUGGAACUGCAUGGCUGGAGUACAGGAGGGGCAGGCGGAAUGCCUAGUGUAGCGGUGAAAUGCGUAGAUAUUAGGAGGAACACCGGUGGCGAAGGCGGCCUGCUGGACUGUGACUGACGUUGAGGCCCGAAGGCGUGGGGAGCAAACAGGAUUAGAUACCCGUGUAGUC